This 2245-nucleotide ribosomal RNA is filed under the name Blautia obeum. RNAcentral describes it as "bacterial LSU rRNA". It matches the Rfam family "Bacterial large subunit ribosomal RNA", at positions 594 to 2875 of the family's 2925-position model. Lineage: Bacteria; Bacillati; Bacillota; Clostridia; Lachnospirales; Lachnospiraceae. The record is from RNAcentral.
CGACCGCGUACUUUUUGUAGAACGGUCCGGCGAGUUACGCUUACUGGCAAGGUUAAGCACUUCAGGUGUGGAGCCGUAGGGAAACCAAGUCUUAAGAGGGCCUUAAGUCAGUAGGAGUAGACCCGAAACCGGGUGAUCUAUCCAUGUCCAGGUUGAAGCUGCCGUAAGAGGUAGUGGAGGACCGAACCCACAUCCGUUGAAAAGGGUGGGGAUGAGGUGUGGAUAGGGGAGAAAUUCCAAUCGAACCCGGAGAUAGCUGGUUCUCCUCGAAAUAGCUUUAGGGCUAGCCUCGAUACAGAUUUGCGGAGGUAGAGCACUGAAUUUCCUAGGGGGCGUCAAAGCCUACCGAAGAAUAUCAAACUCCGAAUGCCGCGUAAUCGAUUAUCGGGAGUCAGACUGCACGAGAUAAGUUGGGCGGUCAAAAGGGAAAGAGCCCAGACCUUCAGUUAAGGUCCCCAAGUGCGCGUUAAGUGGAAAAGGAUGUGGGAUUUCGAAGACAACCAGGAUGUUGGCUCAGAAGCAGCCAUCCAUUCAAAGAGUGCGUAAUAGCUCACUGGUCGAGAGGUCCUGCGCCGAAAAUGUCCGGGGCUGAAACGCGCCACCGAAACUAAGGAACCGAAAGGUUGGUAGAGGAGCAUUGCAUGCGGGAAGAAGCAGUACCGAAAGGAGCUGUGGACUGCAUGGAAGAGAGAAUGCCGGAAUGAGUAGCGAGAAUAAGGUGAGAAUCCUUAUGGCCGAAUAUCCAAGGUUUCCAGAGUAAAGCUGAUCUGCUCUGGGUAAGUCGGGGCCUAAGGCGAGGACGAGAGUCGUAGCCGAUGGACAACAGGUGGAGAUUCCUGUACUGCGGUAUGACAGAACUGUGGGGACACGUAAGGAAAGCGGAAGCCGGGAAUGGAAAGCCCGGUGCAAGCGGGGUACCAGNGGCAAAUCCGGGUGGCAAUGGGAAGCCGUGAUGCGGAGCGAAAUAAAGUAGCGAAGUCCGUGAGCCAUGCGUCAAGAAAAGCCGCUAUUGUUUAUACCGUACCCGUACCGUAAACCGACACAGGUGGAUGAGGAGAGAAUCCUAAGGCCGGCGGAAGAAGCAUUGUCAAGGAACUCGGCAAAAUGGCCCCGUAACUUAGGGAUAAGGGGUGCCUGGGAAACCAGGCCGCAGAGAAUAGGCUCAAGCAACUGUUUAGCAAAAACACAGGUCUAUGCGAAACCGAAAGGUGAGGUAUAUGGGCUGACGCCUGCCCGGUGCUGGAAGGUUAAGAGGAGAGGUUAGCGCAAGCGAAGCUUUGAAUUUAAGCCCCAGUAAACGGCGGCCGUAACUAUAACGGUCCUAAGGUAGCGAAAUUCCUUGUCGGGUAAGUUCCGACCCGCACGAAAGGCGUAAUGAUUUGAGCGCUGUCUCGACAAUGCAUCCGGUGAAAUUGAAGUACCAGUGAAGAUGCUGGUUACCUGCGCCAGGACGGAAAGACCCCAUGGAGCUUUACUCCAGUCUGGUACUGGGACUCGGUAUUGCAUGUACAGGAUAGGUGGGAGGCUAGGAGAUGGUAACGCCAGUUGCCAUGGAGCCGCUGUUGGGAUACCACCCUUGCAGUAUUGGGUUUCUAACCAGCCGCCGUGACCCGGCGGUGGGACAAUGCCAGACGGGGAGUUUGACUGGGGCGGUCGCCUCCGAAAGGGUAUCGGAGGCGCCCAAAGGUUCCCUCAGAAUGGACGGAAACCAUUCGAAGAGUGCAAAGGCAGAAGGGAGCUUGACUGCGACACCGACGGGUGGAGCAGGUACGAAAGUAGGGCUUAGUGAUCCGGUGGUAUUAAGUGGGAAUGCCAUCGCUCAACGGAUAAAAGCUACCCUGGGGAUAACAGGCUUAUCACUCCCAAGAGUUCACAUCGACGGAGUGGUUUGGCACCUCGAUGUCGGCUCAUCGCAUCCUGGGGCUGUAGUAGGUCCCAAGGGUUGGGCUGUUCGCCCAUUAAAGCGGUACGCGAGCUGGGUUCAGAACGUCGUGAGACAGUUCGGUCCCUAUCCGGCGUGGGCGUAGGAUAUCUGAGAGGAGCUGUCCUUAGUACGAGAGGACCGGGAUGGACGGGCCGCUGGUGCAUCGGUUAGACUGCCAAGUCUACGGCCGAGUAGCCAAGCCCGGAAGGGAUAAACGCUGAAGGCAUCUAAGCGUGAAGCCCCCCUUAAGAUGAGAUAUCCCAUUCGAAAGAAGUAAACCCCCUUGAAGACGACGAGGUAGAUAGGGCAGAGGUGGAAGUG